GGUUAAGUGACUAAGCGUACACGGUGGAUGCCUGGGCAGUCAGAGGCGAUGAAGGACGUACUAACUUGCGAUAAGCGCAGAUAAGGCAGUAAGAGCCGUUUGAGUCUGCGAUUUCCGAAUGGGGAAACCCAACUGCAUAAGCAGUUACUGUUAACUGAAUACAUAGGUUAACAGAGCAAACCGGGGGAACUGAAACAUCUAAGUACCCCGAGGAGAAGAAAUCAACCGAGAUUCCGGUAGUAGCGGCGAGCGAACCUGGAUUAGCCCUUAAGCACUCGUUGAAGUAGGUGAACAAGCUGGAAAGCUUGGCGAUACAGGGUGAUAGCCCCGUAACCGACGCUUCAUCGAGCGUGAAAUCGAGUAGGGCGGGACACGUGAUAUCCUGUCUGAAUAUGGGGGGACCAUCCUCCAAGGCUAAAUACUCCUGACUGACCGAUAGUGAACCAGUACCGUGAGGGAAAGGCGAAAAGAACCCCUGUGAGGGGAGUGAAAUAGAACCUGAAACCGUGUACGUACAAGCAGUAGGAGCACCUUCGUGGUGUGACUGCGUACCUUUUGUAUAAUGGGUCAGCGACUUAUAUUCAGUGGCAAGGUUAACCGUAUAGGGGAGCCGUAGCGAAAGCGAGUCUUAACUGGGCGCUCAGUCUCUGGAUAUAGACCCGAAACCGGGUGAUCUAGCCAUGGGCAGGUUGAAGGUUGAGUAACAUCAACUGGAGGACCGAACCGACUAAUGUUGAAAAAUUAGCGGAUGACUUGUGGCUAGGGGUGAAAGGCCAAUCAAACUCGGAGAUAGCUGGUUCUCCCCGAAAGCUAUUUAGGUAGCGCCUCGGACGAAUACUACUGGGGGUAGAGCACUGUUAAGGCUAGGGGGUCAUCCCGACUUACCAACCCUUUGCAAACUCCGAAUACCAGUAAGUACUAUCCGGGAGACACACGGCGGGUGCUAACGUCCGUCGUGGAGAGGGAAACAACCCAGACCGCCAGCUAAGGUCCCAAAGUAUUGCUAAGUGGGAAACGAUGUGGGAAGGCUCAGACAGCUAGGAUGUUGGCUUAGAAGCAGCCAUCAUUUAAAGAAAGCGUAAUAGCUCACUAGUCGAGUCGGCCUGCGCGGAAGAUGUAACGGGGCUAAGCAAUACACCGAAGCUGCGGCAAUGAAGUUUACUUCAUUGGGUAGGGGAGCGUUCUGUAAGCCGUUGAAGGUGAAUCGUAAGGUUUGCUGGAGGUAUCAGAAGUGCGAAUGCUGACAUGAGUAACGACAAGGGGGGUGAAAAACCUCCCCGCCGGAAGACCAAGGGUUCCUGUCCAACGUUAAUCGGGGCAGGGUGAGUCGACCCCUAAGGUGAGGCCGAAAGGCGUAAUCGAUGGGAAACGGGUUAAUAUUCCCGUACUUCUGACUAUUGCGAUGGGGGGACGGAGAAGGCUAGGUGGGCCAGGCGACGGUUGUCCUGGUUCAAGUGCGUAGGCUUGAGAGUUAGGUAAAUCCGGCUCUCUUUAAGGCUGAGACACGACGUCGAGCUGCUACGGCAGUGAAGUCAUUGAUGCCAUGCUUCCAGGAAAAGCCUCUAAGCUUCAGAUAGUCAGGAAUCGUACCCCAAACCGACACAGGUGGUCGGGUAGAGAAUACCAAGGCGCUUGAGAGAACUCGGGUGAAGGAACUAGGCAAAAUGGUACCGUAACUUCGGGAGAAGGUACGCUCUUGAUGGUGAAGUCCCUCGCGGAUGGAGCUGACGAGAGUCGCAGAUACCAGGUGGCUGCAACUGUUUAUUAAAAACACAGCACUGUGCAAAAUCGCAAGAUGACGUAUACGGUGUGACGCCUGCCCGGUGCCGGAAGGUUAAUUGAUGGGGUUAGCGUAAGCGAAGCUCUUGAUCGAAGCCCCGGUAAACGGCGGCCGUAACUAUAACGGUCCUAAGGUAGCGAAAUUCCUUGUCGGGUAAGUUCCGACCUGCACGAAUGGCGUAAUGAUGGCCACGCUGUCUCCACCCGAGACUCAGUGAAAUUGAAAUCGCUGUGAAGAUGCAGUGUACCCGCGGCUAGACGGAAAGACCCCGUGAACCUUUACUACAGCUUGGCACUGAACAUUGAACCUACAUGUGUAGGAUAGGUGGGAGGCUAUGAAGACGUGACGCUAGUUGCGUUGGAGCCGUCCUUGAAAUACCACCCUUGUAUGUUUGAUGUUCUAACUUAGACCCAUUAUCUGGGUUGAGGACAGUGCCUGGUGGGUAGUUUGACUGGGGCGGUCUCCUCCCAAAGAGUAACGGAGGAGCACGAAGGUGGGCUAAUCACGGUUGGACAUCGUGAGGUUAGUGCAAUGGCAUAAGCCCGCUUAACUGCGAGAAUGACGGUUCGAGCAGGUGCGAAAGCAGGUCAUAGUGAUCCGGUGGUUCUGUAUGGAAGGGCCAUCGCUCAACGGAUAAAAGGUACUCCGGGGAUAACAGGCUGAUACCGCCCAAGAGUUCAUAUCGACGGCGGUGUUUGGCACCUCGAUGUCGGCUCAUCACAUCCUGGGGCUGAAGUCGGUCCCAAGGGUAUGGCUGUUCGCCAUUUAAAGUGGUACGCGAGCUGGGUUUAGAACGUCGUGAGACAGUUCGGUCCCUAUCUGCCGUGGGCGUUGGAAGAUUGAAGGGGGCUGCUCCUAGUACGAGAGGACCGGAGUGGACGAACCUCUGGUGUUCGGGUUGUGUCGCCAGACGCAUUGCCCGGUAGCUAAGUUCGGAAUCGAUAACCGCUGAAAGCAUCUAAGCGGGAAGCGAGCCCUGAGAUGAGUCUUCCCUGACAGUUUAACUGUCCUAAAGGGUUGUUCGAGACUAGAACGUUGAUAGGCAGGGUGUGUAAGCGUUGUGAGGCGUUGAGCUAACCUGUACUAAUUGCCCGUGAGGCUUAACCAU
RNAcentral lists this ribosomal RNA (2888 nucleotides) under Vibrio metoecus. RNAcentral's name for it is "23S ribosomal RNA". It matches the Rfam family "Bacterial large subunit ribosomal RNA". The record is from RNAcentral. Lineage: Bacteria; Pseudomonadati; Pseudomonadota; Gammaproteobacteria; Vibrionales; Vibrionaceae.